RNAcentral lists this small RNA (76 nucleotides) under Xanthomonas campestris. RNAcentral's name for it is "sRNA sX9". It matches the Rfam family "Xanthomonas sRNA sX9". The record is from RNAcentral. Lineage: Bacteria; Pseudomonadati; Pseudomonadota; Gammaproteobacteria; Lysobacterales; Lysobacteraceae.
AUGUACCACGCGUACAUUCCGGUUCCUGCGCGCCGUCCGCCCCCACCUGACGCCUGCCAGCUCCGUUUUGUCAGCC